This 326-nucleotide unclassified non-coding RNA is filed under the name soil metagenome. RNAcentral's name for it is "partial contains 5.8S ribosomal RNA, internal transcribed spacer 2, and large subunit ribosomal RNA". The stretch from base 1 to 120 matches the Rfam family "5.8S ribosomal RNA", at positions 35 to 154 of the family's 154-position model. The record is from RNAcentral.
GAUGAAGAACGUAGCGAAAUGCGAUAAGUAAUGUGAAUUGCAGAAUUCAGUGAAUCAUCGAAUCUUUGAACGCACAUUGCGCCCCUUGGUAUUCCGAGGGGCAUGCCUGUUCGAGCGUCAUAUUAACCACUCCCGCUUGCGGGGUCUUGGGCUUCGCCUCCGGGCGGGCCUUAAAAUCAGUGGCGGUGCCGUCGGGCUCUACGCGUAGUAAAUUUUCUCGCGAUAGGGUCCCGGUGGAUGCUUGCCAACAACCCCCAACUUCUUAAGGUUGACCUCGGAUCAGGUAGGGAUACCCGCUGAACUUAAGCAUAUCAAUAAGCGGAGUA